Molecule: ribosomal RNA, 460 nt
Filed under: uncultured bacterium
Lineage: Bacteria
Description: partial 16S ribosomal RNA
Rfam family: Bacterial small subunit ribosomal RNA
Source: RNAcentral
CCUACGGGAGGCUGCAGUGAGGAAUAUUGGUCAAUGGACGAGAGUCUGAACCAGCCAAGUAGCGUGAAGGAUGACUGCCCUAUGGGUUGUAAACUUCUUUUAUAAAGGAAUAAAACGAGGCACGUGUGCCUUUUUGCAUGUACUUUAUGAAUAAGGAUCGGCUAACUCCGUGCCAGCAGCCGCGGUAAUACGGAGGAUCCGAGCGUUAUCCGGAUUUAUUGGGUUUAAAGGGAGCGUAGGUGGAUUGUUAAGUCAGUUGUGAAAGUUUGCGGCUCAACCGUAAAAUUGCAGUUGAAACUGGCAGUCUUGAGUACAGUAGAGGUGGGCGGAAUGCGUGGUGUAGCGGUGAAAUGCUUAGAUAUCACGAAGAACUCCGAUUGCGAAGGCAGCAUACCGGCGCUCAACUGACGCUCAUGCACGAAAGUGUGGGUAUCGAACAGGAUUAGAUACCCUAGUAGUC